This 1023-nucleotide long non-coding RNA is filed under the name Phocoena sinus (vaquita). Its description in RNAcentral is "lncRNA (ENSPSNG00000004023.1)". The record is from RNAcentral. Lineage: Eukaryota; Metazoa; Chordata; Mammalia; Artiodactyla; Phocoenidae.
AUGGCUCCCCCAUGGGGGGCGGGCUCCUGUGACUGCAGGAACAACGGAUCAGCCCUUUGCACACACACACCCUUUAAUACUCCCAAAAGCCCAACAGAGGACACCGGCGGGGGGCGGGGGGCCCUGUCCAGGGUCACAAGGCCAGAGCCCCGGGCCCUGUGGGCCCACAGCCCUCACGGCGACCGGCCGUCCUCCACCCACCGGCGGGAGCUUCACCAGAACCAGGAUCAGCCUGGGCUCCCACCCUACCCGCCCCACCGACUCCUGGCGGCCGACUCGUCAAGUGCUGCGGUUGGAGUGGCAGUUCAAGUAGCAGAGGAGCCUGGGACAGGCCAGCACCCACUCUGUGUCCUGACUUCAGCCGAGGUGGCCAGGCCUCCUGGGGCCGCUGCUCCCCCUGCCCCACCCUCCACGGGCAGGCACCACCCUCUCCCUGGUCUGGGCGUGUGCCAGGAGCCCUCCCAGCCCCAGGCCCGCUCAGUUGACCCCCCGAUGCCCCCCCGACCGCCCUCCCGGCCUCUCCUGGGGGCCAGCCGAGCGCCCACUCCCCUCCUGCCUUUGGUCCCUGGAGGGCGGCUGCCUCCUCCUCCUGGACUCCGAGGCUGGCCCCUGGUCCCCCUGCCGGCCCCUCACGGUGGAGCAGGCCUCCCAUCUUCCAUCCAGGAAGACGAAGUUCCUGAGGCCCAAGGUCAACAGGCCCAAGGUCAGGUGCCCUUCGUGUUGGUCGAAUGCCAAGGCCUUUCCAACCGCCGUGUCCCCUCCCCCUGGCCCGCGGCGGGCAUGGGGGCCAUGGGUUGCCGAGGCGGAGGGCCCCUAAGCUUCCCACGGCACUCGGGCUCCCGAAACGGCCAGGCGUCUCUAGGGGAGCUGGCUUUCGGGGUCCUGGCACCUGGACGCCGCGCACGCGCGCACCUGUCCCCACCAGCCCGGACACGACCCCCGCCCCACCCGCGGCCCCGCCACGGCCGAGCUGCUCCAAAGCCAGAGGUGCGAGCCAGCGUGGGACCUGGGACCAGAGCCUGA